UAUUACUUCCAGCUGCCCUUUGCAUACACUGCCCGUCGCAACUGCUGAUUGAAUGACUCGGUGAACCUUUCGAACUGGCCCAGAGAGGUAGGCAACUACCACCCAGGGCCGGCAAGGUAUCGAAACUCGGUCAUUUACGGGAGGUAAAAGUUGUAACAAGGUCUCCGUUGGUGAACUAGCGGAAGGA
Molecule: non-coding RNA, 187 nt
Organism: Colletotrichum liriopes
Lineage: Eukaryota; Fungi; Ascomycota; Sordariomycetes; Glomerellales; Glomerellaceae
Source: the annotation of a GenBank genome assembly